This 425-nucleotide ribosomal RNA is filed under the name uncultured bacterium. RNAcentral's name for it is "bacterial SSU rRNA". It matches the Rfam family "Bacterial small subunit ribosomal RNA", at positions 355 to 796 of the family's 1533-position model. The record is from RNAcentral.
UAGGGAAUUUUCCACAAUGGGCGAAAGCCUGAUGGAGCAACGCCGCGUGCAGGAUGAAGGCCUUCGGGUUGUAAACUGCUUUUAUGUGUGAUGAUUAUGACAGUAGCAUAUGAAUAAGGAUCGGCUAACUCCGUGCCAGCAGCCGCGGUCAUACGGAGGAUCCAAGCGUUAUCCGGAAUUACUGGGCGUAAAGAGUUGCGUAGGUGGCAGAGUAAGCAAAUAGUGAAAUCGUACGGCUCAACCGUAUACACAUUAUUUGAACUGCUCAGCUAGAGGACAAGAGAGGUAGAUGGAAUUCCCAGUGUAGGAGUGAAAUCCGUAGAUAUUGGGAGGAACACCGAUGGCGUAAGCAGUCUACUGGCUUGUUCCUGACACUCAGGCACGAAAGCGUGGGGAGCGAACGGGAUUAGAUACCCCCGUAGUCC